Molecule: transfer RNA, 72 nt
Filed under: Patescibacteria group bacterium
Lineage: Bacteria
Description: tRNA-Pro
Rfam family: tRNA
About the family: Transfer RNA (tRNA) molecules are approximately 80 nucleotides in length. Their secondary structure includes four short double-helical elements and three loops (D, anti-codon, and T loops).
Source: RNAcentral
CGGAAUGUAGUUCAUCGGUAGAACGCUCGGUUCGGGUCCGAGAGGCACCGGGUUCAAUUCCCGGCAUUCCGA